Molecule: ribosomal RNA, 256 nt
Filed under: uncultured bacterium
Lineage: Bacteria
Description: partial 16S ribosomal RNA
Rfam family: Bacterial small subunit ribosomal RNA
Source: RNAcentral
AGAGAAGCAAUACCGCGAGGUGGAGCAAAACUUCAAAAUGGUCUCAGUUCGGACUNUAGGCUGCAACUCGCCUACACGAAGUUGGAAUUGCUAGUAAUCGUGGAUCAGCAUGCCACGGUGAAUACGUUCCCGGGUCUUGUACACACCGCCCGUCACACCAUGGGAGCUGGUAACACCCGAAGUCAGUAGUCUAACCGCAAGGAGGACGCUGCCGAAGGUGGGAUUAGCGACUGGGGUGAAGUCGUAACAAGGUAUC